GAGGUCUUAGCUUAAGUGUUAAAGUGGCUGAGUUGCAUUCAUUUGAUGUACAGUAUGUACAGACCUUC
Molecule: transfer RNA, 68 nt
Filed under: Phyllodactylus unctus (San Lucan gecko)
Lineage: Eukaryota; Metazoa; Chordata; Lepidosauria; Squamata; Phyllodactylidae
Description: tRNA-Ala
Source: RNAcentral